RNAcentral lists this ribosomal RNA (468 nucleotides) under uncultured bacterium. RNAcentral's name for it is "partial 16S ribosomal RNA". It matches the Rfam family "Bacterial small subunit ribosomal RNA", at positions 28 to 507 of the family's 1533-position model. The record is from RNAcentral.
GACGAACGCUGGCGGCGUGCUUAACACAUGCAAGUCGAACGGAAAGGCCCUGCUUUUGUGGGGUGCUCGAGUGGCGAACGGGUGAGUAACACGUGAGUAACCUGCCCUUGACUUUGGGAUAACUUCAGGAAACUGGGGCUAAUACCGGAUAGGAGCUCCUGUUGCAUGGUGGGGGUUGGAAAGUUUCGGCGGUUGGGGAUGGACUCGCGGCUUAUCAGCUUGUUGGUGGGGUAGUGGCUUACCAAGGCUUUGACGGGUAGCCGGCCUGAGAGGGUGACCGGCCACAUUGGGCCUGAGAUACGGCCCAGACUCCUACGGGAGGCAGAAGUGGGGAAUAUUGCACAAUGGGCGGAAGCCUGAUGCAGCAACGCCGCGUGCGGGAUGACGGCCUUCGGGUUGUAAACCGCUUUCGCCUGUGACGAAGCGUGAGUGACGGUAAUGGGUAAAGAAGCACCGGCUAACUACGUG